Molecule: long non-coding RNA, 510 nt
Filed under: Dicentrarchus labrax (European seabass)
Lineage: Eukaryota; Metazoa; Chordata; Actinopteri; Moronidae
Description: lncRNA (ENSDLAG00005003753.2)
Source: RNAcentral
GAAGCAGUAUGCCAUCUUUACAACUCGGAGACAAAUUGUAGGCGCUACGAACCGGAGCAAGGACUAACCUCGCCUCAUAACGAGGCCGUGACCUCCUAUUUGCUCAGAGCUAUGUCUGCAAGUCCAGAUUUACACGAUGCUGAUAAUGACGACAUUGUGUCUGCCUGUAAGACCUAUUAUGAGACAGUACGCAGGAGCUUCAGGUACAAACAACCAGACCUUGCACCGCAGGCGGAAGCUGUGAAGAGUUCAGCUCGGAGUCGAUCGAGAAGAAAAAGGCUGCUGGAAGCUGGACAGAGUGUGCUAGAUGAGGAAGAGGAGGAACUUUGGAAGUCCGCCACCAUAGACCUGAUGUCUGAUGAGAAAGACAGCAUCGUUGGCGGGGUGUCUGGAUGGAUUGUGCGACCUCCGUCCUUUGGCAGCCAGGAGCUCACCGAGCUCUGUGCCACGCUGCAGUCCAGAUUAGAGGCGACUCCGAAGUACAGGGCAACGCACCACAGACGUCUGUAA